UGGAAAUGAUGACUAAUGAUGAUCUGAAUACGUAUGUAGAAAUCUAUUAAGAUAGUCAAGUUCUGAUCCAG
Small nucleolar RNA from Hyla sarda, 71 nucleotides. RefSeq annotates it as small nucleolar RNA SNORD20. The record is from RefSeq and is a predicted model, not a curated record. Lineage: Eukaryota; Metazoa; Chordata; Amphibia; Anura; Hylidae. The transcript has a single exon.